UAUCUCUGUAGAGUCUGCAUAUCAAUAAGCGGAGGAAAAGAAACUAACAAGGAUUCCCUUAGUAACGGCGAGUGAAGCGGGAAGAGCUCAAAUUUGAAAUCUUCAAGGUUCUACCUUGACGAAUUGUAGUUUAAAGAAGUGUUUUCUGUUUGAUGAGUAGCAAAAGUUCCUUGGAAUGGGACAUCAUAGAGGGUGAGAAUCCCGUAUUUGGUUAUUCAUUCUAGCUUUGUGAUACACUUUCAAAGAGUCGGAUUGUUUGGGAAUGCAGUCCAAAAUGGGUGGUAAAUUUCAUCUAAAGCUAAAUAUUGGCGAGAGACCGAUAGCGAACAAGUACCGUGAGGGAAAGAUGAAAAGAACUUUGAAAAGAGAGUUAAACAGUACGUGAAAUUGUCAAAAGGGAAGCGUUUGACACCAGUGUUGUUUUUCCGAAAAUCAAUUACGAAUGGCUUGAUUUUGUGUUGUAUUGACCUUAUCAGCUUUCUUCACUUUUUUCGAGUCUUUCUUAAUGCACUUUUUGGUUAACAAGUCAACAUCAAUUUCUUUUGUUGUAAAAGAGUAUUCGGAAGGUGGCUUUCUUUUCGGAGAAAGUGUUUAUAGCCCUAUACUUCUACAAUCGGAGAGAUUGAGGUCUGCAGCGUAGAUCCUUCGGGGUUAGAUACACUUGUGCUAAGUUGUAGCUUUUCAUAGACAACUUGUUGACUAUGUUUAGUCAUGCGGCUUACUCGCUUGUGCUAUUUUACCUACGCUUAGGAUGUUGACUGAUAUGUAGUCGUA
RNAcentral lists this ribosomal RNA (774 nucleotides) under uncultured Neocallimastigales. RNAcentral describes it as "partial large subunit ribosomal RNA". It matches the Rfam family "Eukaryotic large subunit ribosomal RNA", at positions 24 to 644 of the family's 3401-position model. The record is from RNAcentral. Lineage: Eukaryota; Fungi; Neocallimastigomycota; Neocallimastigomycetes; Neocallimastigales.